GAACUGAAGAGUUUGAUCAUGGCUCAGAUUGAACGCUGGCGGCAGGCCUAACACAUGCAAGUCGAGCGGAUGAAGGGAGC
Molecule: ribosomal RNA, 80 nt
Filed under: Pseudomonas aeruginosa
Lineage: Bacteria; Pseudomonadati; Pseudomonadota; Gammaproteobacteria; Pseudomonadales; Pseudomonadaceae
Description: partial 16S ribosomal RNA
Rfam family: Bacterial small subunit ribosomal RNA
Source: RNAcentral